This 397-nucleotide ribosomal RNA is filed under the name uncultured soil bacterium. Its description in RNAcentral is "bacterial SSU rRNA". It matches the Rfam family "Bacterial small subunit ribosomal RNA", at positions 26 to 444 of the family's 1533-position model. The record is from RNAcentral.
AGAGCGAACGCUGGCGGCAGGCCUAACACAUGCAAGUCGAACGGACCCUUCGGGGUUAGUGGCGGACGGGUGAGUAACACGUGGGAACGUGCCUUUUGGUUCGGAAUAGCUCCUGGAAACGGGUGGUAAUGCCGAAUGUGCCCUUCGGGGGAAAGAUUUAUCGCCAUUAGAGCGGCCCGCGUCUGAUUAGCUAGUUGGUAAGGUGAUGGCUUACCAAGGCGACGAUCAGUAGCUGGUCUGAGAGGAUGACCAGCCACAUUGGGACUGAGACACGGCCCAAACUCCUACGGGAGGCAGCAGUGGGGAAUCUUGCGCAAGUGGGCGAAACGCCUGACGCAGCCAUGCCGCGUGAAUCGAUUGAAGGUUCUUAAGGACUUAGUAAAUUCUUUCGACCGGG